GUGAAUAGACCAGUUUGCAGCAACAUUUUGGACACACCGAACAGUGGGAAAUUAGUGCAACACACUACUGACUCCUUUCUUGAGCAAUACGGCUUAAAUUAUUGCUCGCGGUACUUUAGUAGUAGUCAUUAACGAUUCGGUUUAAAUAUUUACUUAAUAUAACCAAGUGUCGGGGUUAAUAAUAACAUACAACAUAACCUAAGCGCAAACAGUUGAAAACGGCAUCUGUAUCUAAGCUUGCAAAACCUGUCCUGCCUAUUCGAACAGCCAAAAAAAUACCAAAAACAUUACUUUACUCCAUCGUAACAUUUUUUACGAAAAUUUAAGAAGAAAAAUAGUUUCCCUUACAAGUCAGAAAGGGGAGCUUAGGUAUGAGAACUUGUUACACCAGCCGCCAACCGAGCUCGGAGUGACAACCUGGCACGCGGCUCACCCUACGACCAACGGCAUUGAAUGUUAACGAUCAGAGUCUUUGAAUACUGACGACCACGACAAUAUCGCGCGAGAGGAUGUUUGAACGAUUUUGCAACGGUACAUGCGAUUAUGUUAGGUGGAAGUUACGCGCACGCGGAAAACAUUAUGGUACACAGGCGCAUAGUAUGUACUUCCGCGGUGUAAUUGUUUACAGCGAUAACUUUCCGUGCAAAUGUGCAACGGCACCAUGUUGAUGUCAACAUUCGUAACGAUGCAACAUCAAUACACAACCUGAUGCCAACAAUCAUACAGGCGGAAGUUGAUGUCCGGGAGCUGAUGCUCAGGUCAGAACUUAGGGCGGCGUUCUUCUUGUUGCUUAGCCCCAGU
Molecule: long non-coding RNA, 801 nt
Organism: Hermetia illucens (black soldier fly)
Lineage: Eukaryota; Metazoa; Arthropoda; Insecta; Diptera; Stratiomyidae
Exons: 3
Source: RefSeq, a predicted model, not a curated record